Molecule: ribosomal RNA, 354 nt
Filed under: uncultured Komarekiella sp.
Lineage: Bacteria; Bacillati; Cyanobacteriota; Cyanophyceae; Nostocales; Nostocaceae
Description: bacterial SSU rRNA
Rfam family: Bacterial small subunit ribosomal RNA
Source: RNAcentral
UCUUGGGUCGUAAACCUCUUUUCUCAGGGAAGAACACAAUGACGGUACCUGAGGAAUAAGCAUCGGCUAACUCCGUGCCAGCAGCCGCGGUAAUACGGAGGAUGCAAGCGUUAUCCGGAAUGAUUGGGCGUAAAGCGUCCGCAGGUGGCUGUGUGUGUCUGCUGUUAAAGAGUGAGGCUCAACCUCAUAAGAGCAGUGGAAACUACACGGCUAGAGUGCGUUCGGGGCAGAGGGAAUUCCUGGUGUAGCGGUGAAAUGCGUAGAGAUCAGGAAGAACACCGGUGGCGAAAGCGCUCUGCUAGGCCGCAACUGACACUGAGGGACGAAAGCUAGGGGAGCGAAUGGGAUUAGAUA